CGUUGGACGUUGGCUAAACUUAUGACUUGCUCAACCUCUGAUCUCACAGCAAUUCUGCGUGGUAGUACUACCAGACUACUUGUCUCGAGUGGUUUCUCUGCUCGCUCGAUGCGUCGCGGGACAGGCACCGUGUUUUGGCUGCUCGUCGCCGCCGCCGCGCUCCUGCUCCUGGUUCUGCCGCUGCUGGCCUCCUGCGCGGCCUCCGCACGUCCUCCUCCAGUCCGGGCGACAGGCCCAGGGUCUGUUGCACCGACACUGGCGUCUUCUAGUCUACAUCGAUAAUUUGUCGGGUUGCUGCUUCUUCAAACUCCUGGGUUAUAAGGGGGAAGGGUCAGUCCACCAACAACAAACUUGGCCUCAGCAGGACGAAAGGAAUGAUGGCCUUCGUGGAUCCGAGUGGCGGCGACCUACCAUGCACUACUCUAGGAUGCAAAAGUUCAUAGUAGAACACAUCUCUUUAACAAAAGAUGAUGACUUCGGCAAUCUUAUUCAUCUCCAAAAGUAUUGGCCCCAUAGCAGGGGAGCGGCGAUAGCGAUGCGUCGGCAGCUCGUUCUUGCGGGCGUUUGGUGGUUUCGGGAUAUCGAUGUAAUUUUAUUAUAUGUACGUAUUUGAGAUGCUUUAUGCUUCAAUACUUUC
Molecule: ribosomal RNA, 637 nt
Filed under: Triticum aestivum (bread wheat)
Lineage: Eukaryota; Viridiplantae; Streptophyta; Magnoliopsida; Poales; Poaceae
Description: partial small subunit ribosomal RNA
Source: RNAcentral